ACACCUUCGUGUCAUCUCCUCGUACAACUUCAUCGCCUCCGAAAACUUCCCUUCUUUCACAAACACAUCGAUCACCGCAGUGAAAGUAAUGACAUUAGGAACAAUAUCCCUCAUUACCAUAUCUCUCAUUAGCCGAGCUGCAUCACUCCAUCUACCAGAACAACAAAGACCGGCCACAAGAGAGUUAUAAGUAACAGCAUCAGCUCUAACCCCAUCUCUUUCCAUCCGAUCAAACAGCUCCACCGCGUCAUUCACCAACCCGAUCUUACAAGAACCGUCGAUGAUCGUGUUGUAG
Molecule: long non-coding RNA, 295 nt
Organism: Arabidopsis thaliana (thale cress)
Lineage: Eukaryota; Viridiplantae; Streptophyta; Magnoliopsida; Brassicales; Brassicaceae
Product: other RNA
Exons: 1
Source: RefSeq